Molecule: long non-coding RNA, 3281 nt
Organism: Passer domesticus (house sparrow)
Lineage: Eukaryota; Metazoa; Chordata; Aves; Passeriformes; Passeridae
Exons: 3
Source: RefSeq, a predicted model, not a curated record
GCCGGCCCUCGCGUCGUGUUUUUAUUUAUUUACCCCACUAGUAACCCAAAGGCUCCGGAGGUUACUGCAGGCUGCCUUGGGAAGCCGAUGAGCUGCGUCACAGGCUCAGGAGUUAUCUUCCAGCACUUGGAGGGUGAUGCUGUUUGCUCCCCUGUCUGUCAUUUUCUGGUGUGUCAGUAGUUCACAGUCUGCUGUGGGAUAUGGAGUUUUCAAUAUUUUAGAAGAAUUUGGGGAUUAUUAUUUAUUUCAGGCUGAGUAAGCAUCCACAGGUACAUUUUUCAGGUAAAGUAAAGGUACAUGGGACAGUAAAUGCCAUAUGUAAAGUAGAGUGCUGUGUAGUACAUAUCUAGGUUGGCUGACACAAGAACAAAGUAACAUGCAGUGCACUGAGCUGUUUCCUGCAGUUUUUCAGUUACUGGUGAUUUUAGGAACAGAAAAGUAUCGAAUAUUCAUCAGAACCAAGGCAUUCAUUACUUCCAAGAUAAGAUCACUUAGGUUCAAGUAACUUUGUAGCAUUUUGUGCAAUCUGACAGGGAAAAACCAGGUUUGUAAAUUUCUAAACAAAACCUUGUUCACGACAAGCUCCUGACCCUCCUGAGAAUUUCAAGAAUGUGUGCUAUGCUCUGUUUUACCACAGGUCAUGUUCUUUGUUGCAGGUGGACAAACUUCUGAUUUUAAUACAGCUUAACAGGAUAGUCGUGUCCCACGAUGGCUGACAUUUAAUGCACAAACCAUAAACAAGGAGCCAGCAGUUGUGUUGUUCCACAAAAAGUCUCUCUGUUAAGAAGUGGAAAUACCAAGUUCCAGUCUAAUAUAUGUUUUAAACUCUCAAGCUUUUGGGGCAGAACAAUAAUGUGCCUGUUUUGGUGUCAAACAGUUCUAGUGCAAAGUAAAAGUGCAUUUCUUAGGAAAGAAGUAAUCUAGACAGAAAACUUCAUCCCAGUAACUCACCCUUGAACCCCAGAGCAAAAACAUCAGUAAAAACCUAAACAAAAGUCAUAUGGAAUGUUUUAGAGCUCCAUAAAUUGUCCAUGUCUCUCUAAUGGUUUCACCACAGAACAGCCUAAUCCAUAAAAUUUGGGGUUUUUGCUAAUUCUGUAGUGUUUGCUCUUAAAGGCAAUACUUUGGUGUAAAAUGUCUCAUUGUUCACUAACAGUUUAAAUUAGAGAAAGGAAAUAAGAAGAAAUGAAAGUUUGAAAAUGAGAGAGCAACAACAUUCUAAAAACUCAGAAAGAAAAUUACAAAAACUUUAAAAAUUUAUUCUAAAUGGCAUCUUAAACGUCUUUCCCCUUUCUGCAAGAUUACUAUAAAGAAAAGGUAGCUUUCAAAUAUAAAAACUUAUUGGCAAAGGAAAUUUUCUGCUGUGUGAGAUCUCAGUUGUGAAAACUCCUUGGCUUCAUCUUGCAUUAAAAGUGAAUCACAAGGAGCAGCAAGAAAGAAAGGGAAGCAGUGCUUUCUGCUUAUGGAUUGUUUUCCUCCUUCAGCUGCAAAUUCCCGUUCUGCAUUUCAGUGAAUUUAUUCUCCCUGCCUGUCCUCACUGUUGUUGCAUUGGAAUAAAAUAUUUUGCAUCAGAAGGGAUGCAUGGCCUGUCCUCAGCCUUGCAGCACAGCAGAGUGUGUGUGCAGGCAGAGCCUCGGGGUACACUGGGGGGUUGGAGCUGCUCAGGUGUGUGCUGGGGGUGUUGUGGGGUGCAAAUCUCCCUAGGCCUCCCCACAAUGCUGGGGAAAUGCUCCUCUCUCACUCCCUGCUCCUGGUUCUUGCACGGAGCCAGGCACAAGUGGGAUGAUGCCCAGGAUGCCCUUUUCAUGUUUUCUCUGUGAGUGGGACACAUUCCAUUUGUGUUUCAACCAGUGAAGAGAACAUCAUGUUUUAUAAGUAAGACUUACACUGCUGAGGUUUUGUAGGACAGAUAUGAUAAUUUAUUACCCUAAGUACUGUUGUCUACUUAGUCUGUGUAAAUAUAGUUGAUGAAGUAGUAAAUUUUCUCUUUUUCUCUUUCAUUUGCUUGUGACACCAGGGCUGGGUCUCUGUUGCUCUGCUGUUGGCAGUUCUGUUAUACAAAUGUAUAUAUAUGUUUCUGUUAUAAAUGUUAUAUAUAUAAAUGUUUUAUAUAUGUUUCUGGCCCCUCUUUUCACACAGUAGAUUACUGAUGUAUUCCCACAGCUUAUUUGGGCUGCAGUCACUCCUUUAAACUUCCCACAGAAGAAGUCUUAGCUCUUCAGUACUUUUCUUUUUCCCUUGUUGGCUGAGUAUCCUCAGCAAAAGAUUUAUUGCUGCAGUUCAGAUGAGGGAGAAGUGCAGCCAGUGCUCCCAGUCAGUGCAUUUCCUGUUAUUGUUCCAGGCUGAAUUAGAGUCCAGGGAGUCCUGCAAAUCUGAGUGACUCACAGAGCUUGUAUUUUAUCUUUACAGUUUUCCACUCAAAACAAUUGCCAGAUAUUCCUGGUUUCAUGAGCUGUUUUGCAAAUGACACACUUCUGUUGGUUUGUUUGCAGAUGCUUUCCUUGUUUUGUAAUGGGAGGCAAUUUCUGGGCUGUUGAUUAAUAAUUGCAUUGUUAUCUAUACCCUAAAUUUCAGGAUAAUGGCUGUAAUUCUACAGACUGUUCUAGAUAGGACAAAAUAUCCUGGUCAUAACUUCCUUAAUAACUUAAUGAACUUUUAUUUUGCAUUUCAAUUAUUAAAAUAAAAUCCAAGGGACAGGGGAUGCUAGAACUUUGAAAUGCUGACAUUUUAUUUGAAAAACCCUUUUAUUUCACAGGUGGCAUUACUUGAGCAUUUUCCCCAUUUGUAUAAAUAUGGUAUAAACUGCUCAGGGUCUCUAGUUACCUUCCCUGGCAGUUGUUCUGCUCUUUGGAGGGAUCAGCAGCCUUCCCUAGGAGUUCCAGCUUGCACUGUGCUCUCUCUGCACUGAUGCUGCAGCCACAGGAGAUUGUGGAAGGGUGGCAAGUUUUUCUAGGAAGACAUUGCCUACCAGCUUCAAACAUGUAAAUUGCUGGAAUUUGCAUCAAAAUAUGACAGCUCUUCUCUGAUGAAGCUUUCUCCAGGAUGUAUCUUGUCCAAGAGUAUUCAGAGACACAAACCAUGAGUACUGAACUUGUGUCAUGUGCUAAAUUGUGCCUCUGUCAGUUGUAGUCAAGAAUCCAUGAUGUGCUCCUGCUUUGAAAUGGAGUUCUGAGGUAGAGCCACCCAUUCUGGAUGGCCUUCUGCAAGGGGUGAGGAGGAGUCACUGUUACAUCAUGACUAAGGAAAUAAACUGGAUGAGCUCCUCACCUCUUUUUGGCCUC